RNAcentral lists this ribosomal RNA (116 nucleotides) under Bhargavaea cecembensis. Lineage: Bacteria; Bacillati; Bacillota; Bacilli; Caryophanales; Caryophanaceae. The record is from RNAcentral.
UCCGGUGGCGAUGGCGAAGAGGUCACACCCGUUCCCAUCCCGAACACGGAAGUUAAGCUCUUCAGCGCCGAUGGUAGUCGGGGGCUUCCCCCUGCAAGAGUAGGACGCCGCCGGGC